GAUGCGUAUCCCGGCAGUGAGUCGGCGGGGGAUAAGCUCCGUCGUCGAAAGGGAAACAGCCCAGAUCGUCGUCUAAGGUCCCCAAGCGUGUGCUAAGUGGGAAAGGAUGUGGAGUCGCAUAGACAGCCAGGAGGUUGGCUCAGAAGCAGCCACCCUUGAAAGAGUGCGUAACAGCUCACUGGUCUAGUGGUUCCGCGCCGACAAUGUAGCGGGGCUCAAGCACACCACCGAAGACGCGGCAGUAGCUUUGCUACUGGGUAGGAGAGCGUCCCAUGCGGGGCGAAGCGGCGGCGCAAGCCCGCCGUGGACCGCAUGGGAGUGAGAAUGCAGACAUGAGUAGCGAAAGACGGGUGAAGAUCCCGUCCGCUGGACGACCAAGGGUUCCAGGGCCACGUUCAUCGUCCCUGGGUGAGUCGGGUCCUAAGGCGAGGCCGACAGGCGUAGUCGAAUGGAUGAACGGGUCGAUAUUCCCGUACCGGCAUGCAACCGACAAAACCGAAUCCGCGAGUACUAACCUCCGGGUCCGGGCUUACGUCUCCUUCGGGAGCCGGAUGCCCUGGCCUGUUGGGACCGUAACGGUAGUAGGUCAGCGCGGGAGUGACGCAGAAGGGUAGCCGGCCGCGGAGGUGGUCUUCCGUGGUCAAGCACGCAGCCCGUCCCACAGGCAAAUCCGUGGGGCGCGUGGGCGAGGUGCGAUGAUGGGCGCCGCAGGGCGCGAUAUCCGGUGAUCCCGGCUGCCGAGAAAAGCUUCGGCGUGAGGCGGCGUGCCGCCCGUACCCCAAACCGACACUGGUGGUCAGGUAGAGAAUACCAAAGCGAUCGAGCGAAUCCUGGUCAAGGAACUCGGCAAAUCACUCCCGUUCCUUCGGUUUAAGGGAGACCCCCGAUGGUGAAGCGGCUUGCCCGUGGAGCUUUUGGGGGUGGCACAGACCAGGGGGUAGCGACUGUUUACCAAAAACACAGGAGCGUGCGAAGGCGCAAGCCGCUGUAUACGCUCUGACGCCUGCCCGGUGCCGGAAGGUUAAGAGGAUCCGUCAGGCUUCGGCCGAAGCGGUGAAUUCAAGCCCCGGUAAACGGCGGUGGUAACUAUAACCAUCCUAAGGUAGCGAAAUUCCUUGUCGGGUAAGUUCCGACCUGCACGAAUGGCGUAACGACUUCCCCACUGUCUCGACCAGGAGCUCGGCGAAAUUGCAGUACGAGUAAAGAUGCUCGUUAAGCGCAGAAGGACGAAAAGACCCCGGGACCUUUACUAUACCUUGGUAUUGGCAUUCGGUGUGGAUUGUGUAGCAUAGGCGGAAGGCUUCGAAGCCACGGCGCCAGCCGCGGUGGAGCCGCAAGGUGAAAUACCGCUCUGUUCGCAUUGGAUGUCUAACCUCGACCAGUCAUCCUGGUCAGGGACAGUGCCUGGCGGGUAGUUUAACUGGGGCGGUUGCCUCCCAAAGAGUAACGGAGGCGCUCAAAGGUUCCCUCAGCCCGGUUGGCAAUCGGGUGGCGAGUGUAAGUGCACAAGGGAGCUUGACUGCGAGACUGACGGGUCGAGCAGGGACGAAAGUCGGAACUAGUGAUCCGGUGCCGGUGUACGGACGCGGCAUCGCUCAACGGAUAAAAGGUACCCCGGGGAUAACAGGCUGAUCAUUCCCAAGAGUCCAUAUCGACGGGAU
RNAcentral lists this ribosomal RNA (1661 nucleotides) under human gut metagenome. RNAcentral describes it as "bacterial LSU rRNA". It matches the Rfam family "Bacterial large subunit ribosomal RNA", at positions 967 to 2514 of the family's 2925-position model. The record is from RNAcentral.